GUACUCUCACACUCCCAAUCUCUUUGGAUUGGGAGCGGUGGACUUGGGUGUUGCCGCUUGACUGAGGCUCACCUGAAAUAUGUUAGUGCAUCUCUUGAUUGGACAUAGUACGGCGUGAUAAGUGUCUUCGCCGGCUCCUCGCAAAGAGGGUGGCCGAUCGGGAGCUCUGUUGCUUCAAACAGUCUUCGGACAAUCUUCUGACA
This 203-nucleotide unclassified non-coding RNA is filed under the name uncultured Sebacina. RNAcentral describes it as "sequence contains ITS2". The record is from RNAcentral. Lineage: Eukaryota; Fungi; Basidiomycota; Agaricomycetes; Sebacinales; Sebacinaceae.